Molecule: ribosomal RNA, 1273 nt
Filed under: Enterococcus italicus
Lineage: Bacteria; Bacillati; Bacillota; Bacilli; Lactobacillales; Enterococcaceae
Description: bacterial SSU rRNA
Rfam family: Bacterial small subunit ribosomal RNA
Source: RNAcentral
GCGGGGGAUAACACUUGGAAACAGGUGCUAAUACCGCAUAAUACUUUUUCUCUCAUGAGUGAAAGUUGAAAGGCGCUUUUGCGUCACUGAUGGAUGGACCCGCGGUGCAUUAGCUAGUUGGUGGGGUAACGGCCUACCAAGGCAACGAUGCAUAGCCGACCUGAGAGGGUGAUCGGCCACACUGGGACUGAGACACGGCCCAGACUCCUACGGGAGGCAGCAGUAGGGAAUCUUCGGCAAUGGACGAAAGUCUGACCGAGCAACGCCGCGUGAGUGAAGAAGGUUUUCGGAUCGUAAAACUCUGUUGUUAGAGAAGAACAAGGAUGAGAAGAGAAUGUUCAUCCCUUGACGGUAUCUAACCAGAAAGCCACGGCUAACUACGUGCCAGCAGCCGCGGUAAUACGUAGGUGGCAAGCGUUGUCCGGAUUUAUUGGGCGUAAAGCGAGCGCAGGCGGUUCUUUAAGUCUGAUGUGAAAGCCCCCSGCUCAACCGGGGGAGGGUCAUUGGAAACUGGGGAACUUGAGUGCAGAAGAGGAGAGUGGAAUUCCAUGUGUAGCGGUGAAAUGCGUAGAUAUAUGGAGGAACACCAGUGGCGAAGGCGGCUCUCUGGUCUGUAACUGACGCUGAGGCUCGAAAGCGUGGGGGAGCAAACAGGAUUAGAUACCCUUGGUAGUCCACGCCGUAAACGAUGAGUGCUAAGUGUUGGAGGGUUUCCGCCCUUCAGUGCUGCAGCUAACGCAUUAAGCACUCCGCCUGGGGAGUACGACCGCAAGGUUGAAACUCAAAGGAAUUGACGGGGGCCCGCACAAGCGGUGGAGCAUGUGGUUUAAUUCGAAGCAACGCGAAGAACCUUACCAGGUCUUGACAUCCUUUGACCACUCUAGAGAUAGAGCUUUCCCUUCGGGGACAAAGUGACAGGUGGUGCAUGGUUGUCGUCAGCUCGUGUCGUGAGAUGUUGGGUUAAGUCCCGCAACGAGCGCAACCCUUAUUGUUAGUUGCCAUCAUUUAGUUGGGCACUCUAGCGAGACUGCCGGUGACAAACCGGAGGAAGGUGGGGAUGACGUCAAAUCAUCAUGCCCCUUAUGACCUGGGCUACACACGUGCUACAAUGGGAAGUACAACGAGUUGCGAAGUCGCGAGGCUAAGCUAAUCUCUUAAAGCUUCUCUCAGUUCGGAUUGUAGGCUGCAACUCGCCUACAUGAAGCCGGAAUCGCUAGUAAUCGCGGAUCAGCACGCCGCGGUGAAUACGUUCCCGGGCCUUGUACACACCGCC